UACGUAGGGGGCAAGCGUUAUCCGGAUUUACUGGGUGUAAAGGGAGCGCAGGCGGUACGGCAAGUCUGAUGUGAAAGCCCGGGGCUCAACCCCGGGACUGCAUUGGAAACUGUCGGACUAGAGUGUCGGAGGGGUAAGUGGAAUUCCUAGUGUAGCGGUGAAAUGCGUAGAUAUUAGGAGGAACACCAGCGGCGAAGGCGGCUUACUGGACGAUCACUGACGCUGAGGCUCGAAAGCGUGGGGAGCAAACAGG
This 253-nucleotide ribosomal RNA is filed under the name Roseburia intestinalis L1-82. RNAcentral describes it as "partial 16S ribosomal RNA". It matches the Rfam family "Bacterial small subunit ribosomal RNA", at positions 524 to 776 of the family's 1533-position model. The record is from RNAcentral. Lineage: Bacteria; Bacillati; Bacillota; Clostridia; Lachnospirales; Lachnospiraceae.